GAGGUUCGACUCGAGCGAAGCGAGAGAACGUUGCGCCAGCAACGGCCCGCAGGGCGAGCCACGAAGUGGCGAGUAAUCCUCUAUCACCGACCA
Molecule: small RNA, 93 nt
Filed under: Escherichia coli
Lineage: Bacteria; Pseudomonadati; Pseudomonadota; Gammaproteobacteria; Enterobacterales; Enterobacteriaceae
Also listed under: 1 other name
Description: partial RtT sRNA
Rfam family: RtT RNA
About the family: This family represents a bacterial cis-regulatory element known as RtT RNA.
Source: RNAcentral